Zingiber officinale is the source of this 465-nucleotide long non-coding RNA. RefSeq lists it as uncharacterized. The transcript is spliced from 2 exons. NCBI's taxonomy places the organism in Eukaryota, Viridiplantae, Streptophyta, Magnoliopsida, Zingiberales, Zingiberaceae. The record is from RefSeq and is a predicted model, not a curated record.
AGCAUCAAAAUGGAAGCUAUAUGAGCAUCAAUUUCUUGCUUUGAAGAGUUGCCCCUGACGGUCUCUGACUCUGUAGUCGCUUCACAAGGUUGUUCAUAUGAGACUAAUAUUCACUCUACCGUUCGUCUAACUCACUUCGUUCGGCUUCAGUCGAGCACUUUUGUCCCUCUCGCGAACAAAAGAUCAAAGCUCGCGAUAUCACAACAAUGGAAUAUGAGCAAAUGGAUGAGAAGAUACAAGUUCCGUGUAUCAAGUCGACAUGCUCCGGUUCUACUUGUUAUUGCUGCGCAAUCACAAGCAAGUGUUGGGAAUCAGUCAAGUUGUGUGAUGACAAUUGUCCUGCAUGCGAUCCUUCAUGUACUCAGUCUUUACAUUAGCCUGCCCACACGCACAAACCAAAAUAAAUCACAUUUGUGAUACACUGUUAUUAAAAUUGUUCAAAUAAAACUAAAAUUUAGAUUUAAA